CCUACGGGUGGCAGCAGUGAGGAAUAUUGGUCAAUGGCCGUAAGGCUGAACCAGCCAAGUAGCGUGAGGGAAGACUGCCCUAUGGGUUGUAAACCUCUUUUAUGCGGGGAUAAAGGUGUCCACGUGUGGAUGUUUGCAGGUACCGCAUGAAUAAGGACCGGCUAAUUCCGUGCCAGCAGCCGCGGUAAUACGGAAGGUCCGGGCGUUAUCCGGAUUUAUUGGGUUAAAAGGGAGCGUAGGCCGGUCUUUAAGCGUGCCGUGAAAUUUUGUGGCUCAACCAUGAGAGUGCGUCGCAAACUGGAGACCUUGAGUGCGCGGAAGAUAGGCGGAAUACGGUGUGUAUCUGUGAAAUGAUUAGAUACCCGAGUAGUC
This 372-nucleotide ribosomal RNA is filed under the name uncultured bacterium. RNAcentral's name for it is "partial 16S ribosomal RNA". It matches the Rfam family "Bacterial small subunit ribosomal RNA", at positions 338 to 706 of the family's 1533-position model. The record is from RNAcentral.